AGAAUUGCCCAUCUGUGAGCAGAACAAACACUCGGCCACGUUUGUGAGCUCACAUACUGGAGAUGAUUCACUCGUAAUGACUUUCAGAGGGAAAAUUACGUGAGUAAUCCUUUGAGAAAGAAGGACUGGAGGAGGACACAAAGCACACAAAUCAACCCCCAGAAGCAUCACGACAUCCCCCUGUGAUCCACUUUGCAAAGAGGAAAUCACUCCAGGUCAGCUUCUGCACAGCCCACUCAUUCAGCCAAGACAAGCAAGCUGCUGGAGCAAGUAACUGAAGAGUAAUAUGAUAAAAACACAGCAUUAGUGCUAACAGCCUCUACAGAUCAGCUCCUGAAGGAGACGUGCUCAGAGUGCUGCACAUUCCCCACUUGCUGUUUUUUCUUGCUACAGAGAUUUGCUGAAGAUUUGAGCCCUAAUCAGUGCAGUGUAACGGUACCUACAACGUUUGUAUUUGUAUGCUGAUCUGCUGUGGUUAGAUGUAGGCUUUGGCUCCCGGGGGAACCCACAGCACAGUUUGAUCAUCCCUGUUCCAAAGGAAGAUAACACAGACAGCUGCUGUUUCAAAGGACACUUUGUGCACAUUGCUCGAGCAGUCACGUGUGAAGCAGAGCAGAGACUUCCUUGAGUUCAGGAUCCUCCAUCUCUCCAGCCCCGCAUGGCAGCACUGUGCCCAACUCCCACGGGCUCACCCAAACGGGUCCCUCCCAUCUCUGCACGCUAUGGUGAAGUUACCAGGAAGAUGAAGCACAGCGGAAUCCAGGCAGGGAUUAACCAACACUUUGUGUUCUGGAAUGAUUACUCAGACGUUUACAGGAGCUUUGAGUCCCAUCUCCCACACCCCUCUGCAAAACAUGACCUGCCAGUGAGCCCCUGCUAUUUCCUCUGAGCCAAAGCUGCUCUUACAACCAAUGGAAAUUCUGCCACAGUGGAGAACAGCAAAUGAAUAAAAAGAGAAGGAAAGUGGAGGGCGGAGAGGGACCCGGGAUCUCACCUGAUUGCAAUUGUUGUCCCCAACACAGCACGGUGAUUUCCCACCACUUACAAUUCAAAGAAACUCCUAAUGCAAUUCCACUGCUAAAGCUGGUACUUAAUAACACAAAGACUCCCUGAUGCCGUUAGCACAGCUGGACUGCCAGUUCUGAAAUGUCAGCUUUCUUCCCUGUGCUGCAGAAGCUCUACUGUUAAUUUUGACAUCUGUUUUUUAGUGAGAUGUAUUUCUUGCAGAGCAAAUGCACACUGACAAAUCUGGGGCCCUCUGUGUAUUUUGGUAAAUUGCAAUCCAUUAUGAAUAUAUAUCCUCCU
This is a long non-coding RNA of Gallus gallus (chicken), 1305 nucleotides long. Lineage: Eukaryota; Metazoa; Chordata; Aves; Galliformes; Phasianidae. The record is from Ensembl.